Molecule: ribosomal RNA, 1479 nt
Filed under: uncultured bacterium
Lineage: Bacteria
Description: 16S ribosomal RNA
Rfam family: Bacterial small subunit ribosomal RNA
Source: RNAcentral
AGAGUUUGAUCCUGGCUCAGGACGAACGCUGGCGGCGUGCCUAACACAUGCAAGUCGAGCGAUGAAGUUCCUUCGGGAACGGAUUAGCGGCGGACGGGUGAGUAACACGUGGGUAACCUGCCUCAAAGAGGGGGAUAGCCUCCCGAAAGGGAGAUUAAUACCGCAUAACAUUAUCUUCUCGCAUGAGAAGAUAAUCAAAGGAGCAAUCCGCUUUGAGAUGGACCCGCGGCGCAUUAGCUAGUUGGUGAGGUAACGGCUCACCAAGGCGACGAUGCGUAGCCGACCUGAGAGGGUGAUCGGCCACAUUGGAACUGAGACACGGUCCAGACUCCUACGGGAGGCAGCAGUGGGGAAUAUUGCGCAAUGGGGGAAACCCUGACGCAGCAACGCCGCGUGAGUGAUGAAGGUCUUCGGAUUGUAAAGCUCUGUCUUUGGGGACGAUAAUGACGGUACCCAAGGAGGAAGCCCCGGCUAACUACGUGCCAGCAGCCGCGGUAAUACGUAGGGGGCAAGCGUUGUCCGGAAUUAUUGGGCGUAAAGGGCGCGUAGGCGGGUAUUUAAGUCCGGUGUGAAAGAUCAGGGCUCAACCCUGAGAGUGCAUCGGAAACUGGGUAUCUUGAGGACAGGAGAGGAAAGUGGAAUUCCUAGUGUAGCGGUGAAAUGCGUAGAUAUUAGGAGGAACACCAGUGGCGAAGGCGACUUUCUGGACUGUAACUGACGCUGAGGCGCGAAAGCGUGGGGAGCAAACAGGAUUAGAUACCCUGGUAGUCCACGCUGUAAACGAUGAGUGCUAGGUGUAGAGGGUAUCGACCCCUUCUGUGUGCCGCAGUUAACACAAUAAGCACUCCGCCUGGGGAGUACGGCCGCAAGGUUGAAACUCAAAGGAAUUGACGGGGGCCCGCACAAGCGGUGGAGCAUGUGGUUUAAUUCGACGCAACGCGAAGAACCUUACCAGGGCUUGACAUCCUACGAACUCUUUGGAAACAGAGAGGUGCCCUGGGGAGCGUAGAGACAGGUGGUGCAUGGUUGUCGUCAGCUCGUGUCGUGAGAUGUUGGGUUAAGUCCCGCAACGAGCGCAACCCCUGUGUUUAGUUGCUAACGAGUAAGGUUGAGCACUCUAGACAGACUGCCGGUGAUAAACCGGAGGAAGGUGGGGAUGACGUCAAAUCAUCAUGCCCCUUAUGUCUUGGGCUACACACGCGCUACAAUGGUCUGUACAAAGGGAAGCGAAGUCGCGAGGCAGAGCGGAUCCCAUAAAACAGAUCUCAGUUCAGAUUGCAGGCUGAAACUCGCCUGCAUGAAGUCGGAGUUGCUAGUAAUCGCGGAUCAGAACGCCGCGGUGAAUGCGUUCCCGGGCCUUGUACACACCGCCCGUCACACCACGAAAGUCUGCAACACCCGAAGUCGGUGAGCUAACCGCAAGGAAGCAGCCGCCUAAGGUGGGGCCGAUAAUUGGGGUGAAGUCGUAACAAGGUAACC